UACAGAGGUGGCAAGCGUUGUUCGGAAUUACUGGGCGUAAAGGGCGCGUAGGCGGCCUUCUAAGUCAGACGUGAAAUCCCCCGGCUUAACCUGGGAACUGCGUCUGAUACUGGUUGGCUCGAGUUUGGGAGAGGGAUGCGGAAUUCCAGGUGUAGCGGUGAAAUGCGUAGAUAUCUGGAGGAACACCGGUGGCGAAGGCGGCAUCCUGGACCAACACUGACGCUGAGGAGCGAAAGCCAGGGGAGCAAACGGG
This 253-nucleotide ribosomal RNA is filed under the name uncultured bacterium. RNAcentral describes it as "partial 16S ribosomal RNA". It matches the Rfam family "Bacterial small subunit ribosomal RNA", at positions 524 to 776 of the family's 1533-position model. The record is from RNAcentral.